UGUGCAGGUGGCUUGUAAAGUCAGAUGUGAAAGCCCCGAGCUUAACUCGGGAAGUGCAUUUGAAACUCACAAGCUUGAGUAUGGAAGAGGGUCGUGGAAUUCCAGGUGUAGUGGUGAAAUACGUAGAUAUCUGGAGGAACACCGGUGGCGAAGGCGGCGACCUGGUCCAAUACUGACACUCAUACACGAAAGCGUGGGAUCAAACA
This 206-nucleotide ribosomal RNA is filed under the name uncultured bacterium. RNAcentral describes it as "partial 16S ribosomal RNA". It matches the Rfam family "Bacterial small subunit ribosomal RNA", at positions 568 to 774 of the family's 1533-position model. The record is from RNAcentral.